AGGACACAUAUUUUGCUCGGUGGCUACUUGCUCAUAUUCGAGAUACCCAUAACGAAGUUGACGACCUCAUAAGAAAGUUGGCUCAUGGCCCCAGUCGACGUGUUUCUUGCUAUUAAGGGUACUUUGUGAAUGGAUUCAAAUUCGACACUUUGGAGUACGAGCAUUCUAAAGCAACAUCAAAUUAUGGAUGGUGACUAGAGGACGAGCCGACGGAUGUGGGCGAGGGCGGGGUACAAGUUUGCAACUUCGAGAUGAGAACGAGUAGUUAGUGGGAGAUCACUUAUCACAACCUAAAGAUAAUCCAAGUUCUAAUCCUAGUGAAGAGGUGUGUGGACAAAGUAUCACAUCUCGUAUUCUUCCAAGAGGUUUGAACAUUGAAACGCAAGUUGGUGAAACAAUACCUUCAAGAUCUGAAAAUGAACAAAAUACAGGACAAAGUGAAGGUAUUAUAUCACAUGGACGUCGAUAGGAACCCAAUAAUGGAGCUCAGAUCCCAGAUCAUCCAAGUAAAAGGACAAAAGUGACAGUGGUGAACAAUCGAUAAUUUCAAAGCUUCUAAAAUUGAGCUUAAUAUAUUCAUAAAUAAUGUUAGCUCGAUUUCUUAAUUUUAUAUAUUUUUUAAACUUAUUCUGUCAAAAUAAAUUUAUUGAAAGUGGUGUUACAUGGAACCUCACAA
Non-coding RNA from Sesamum indicum (sesame), 676 nucleotides. NCBI's taxonomy places the organism in Eukaryota, Viridiplantae, Streptophyta, Magnoliopsida, Lamiales, Pedaliaceae. The record is from RefSeq and is a predicted model, not a curated record.